UCUCUUGGUUCUGGCAUCGAUGAAGAACGCAGCGAAAUGCGAUAAGUAAUGUGAAUUGCAGAAUUCAGUGAAUCAUCGAAUCUUUGAACGCACAUUGCGCCCGCCAGUACUCUGGCGGGCAUGCCUGUCCGAGCGUCAUUACAACCCUCAAGCCCCAGCGGCUUGGUGUUGGGCGUCGGCCGUCCUCUGCGGCGGCCGUGCCCCAAAUACAGUGGCGGACUCGCUGUUGCCUCCUCUGCGUAGUAAUUACACCUCGCACCGGAUAGACACGAAGUCCACGCCGUAAAACAACCCAAUUUCUGAAUGUUGACCUCGGAUCAGGUAGGAAUACCCGCUGAACUUAAGCAUAUCAAUAAGCGGAGGAAAAGAAACCAACAGGGAUUGCCCUAGUAACGGCGAGUGAAGCGGCAACAGCUCAAAUUUGAAAUCUGGCUCUCGGGCCCGAGUUGUAAUUUGUAGAGGAUGCUUUUGGUGAGGUGCCUUCCGAGUUCCCUGGAACGGGACGCCAUAGAGGGUGAGAGCCCCGUCUGGUUGGACACCGAGCCUCUGUAAAGCUCCUUCGACGAGUCGAGUAGUUUGGGAAUGCUGCUCUAAAUGGGAGGUAUAUGUCUUCUAAAGCUAAAUACUGGCCAGAGACCGAUAGCGCACAAGUAGAGUGAUCGAAAGAUGAAAAGCACUUUGAAAAGAGAGUUAAAAAGCACGUGAAAUUGUUGAAAGGGAAGCGCUUAUGACCAGACUUGGGCUUGGUUGAUCAUCCGGCGUUCUCGCCGGUGCACUCUUCCAGUUCAGGCCAGCAUCAGUUUGCUUCGGGGGAUAAAAGUUUCGGGAAUGUGGCUCCUCCGGGAGUGUUAUAGCCCGUUGCAUAAUACCCUGAGGC
Molecule: ribosomal RNA, 877 nt
Filed under: uncultured Fusarium
Lineage: Eukaryota; Fungi; Ascomycota; Sordariomycetes; Hypocreales; Nectriaceae
Description: eukaryotic LSU rRNA
Rfam family: Eukaryotic large subunit ribosomal RNA (bases 308-877)
Source: RNAcentral